This is a long non-coding RNA of Eriocheir sinensis (Chinese mitten crab), 1566 nucleotides long. RefSeq lists it as uncharacterized. The transcript has 2 exons. Lineage: Eukaryota; Metazoa; Arthropoda; Malacostraca; Decapoda; Varunidae. The record is from RefSeq and is a predicted model, not a curated record.
GGAGGAGGUGAAGAGAUAGAUAUGUUGUUUGAGGAAGGUGAAGAGGAGGAGGAGGAGGACGAGAGAGGGUUAUUAAGGCAUUAUGAAGGAGGAGGAGGAGGAGCUGGUGAAGUGAUAGUUAUGUUGUUUGAGGAAGAUGAAGAGGAGGAGGAGGAGGAGGACGAGAGAGGAUUAUUAUGGCAUUAUGAAGGAGGAGGAGGAGCUGGUGAAGUGAUAGUUAUUAAGUCAUGGAGGAGGAGGAGAAGGCAGUCAAAUAUAUUAAGCACAUUGAAGGAGAGGGGGAAGAAAAGUUAUAAUUAAGUAUAGUUGGAAGAGGAGGAGGAGAGAGGCUAAGUAAGGUAUCAUUGAGGAAGGGAAGAGGGGGGAUGAGGAGGAGAGGAGGUACAUAAACUAUCAUUGAGGAACAGGAGGAGAGAUUAAGGUAUCAUUGAGGACGGAGAGGGAAGGGGAAGGAGGAAGGGAGAGGGGGUACAUAAACUAUCAUUGAGGAAGGGGAGGAGGAGAGGUUAAGGUAUCAUUGAGGACGGAGAGGGAAGGGGAAGGAGGAAGGAAGAGGGGGUACAUAAACUAUCAUUGAGGAAGGGGAGAGGUUAAGGUAUCAUUGAGGAGGGAGAGGGAAGGGGAAGGAGGAAGGGAGAGGGGGUACAUAACUAUCAUUCAGGAAGGGGAGGGGAAGGACGAGGGAGAAGAGGAGGUGGGUGAGAGGCCAAACCGAGGUGAGAAGGAAGCAAGGGAAGAGAAGGGCAGUCAGUUAAGCAGACAACCCCGGCGCAGGAAGGUUGAUCCCGAGUGUAUGGAGUCUCUUGCAGAAGGGCAGUCUAACCCACCUGGUCCAGUCUUCACCCCAGCUGCUGUUCUCUGCACCGGUUUACCUGUCAACCGCACCAGGUCUUCUCCACCGGGUCAAGCUUGGAAUUCCGGUAGUCCAACUGGUACUCUGCACCUGCACCCGGAUUUCAUUCCACCUGGUCCGACUCUACACUUGCAUCCUCCAUCCAUCCAGCUCACCACCGUCUUGGCCAGUGCUCCACCUCUCCCUCCACCCAGCCCAGCUCUGCAUUCCCUCCACCAGUGACACCCCUUCGUUAGACUCGAGGAUGGCCCGUGCCUGGGUUCCUGAGCUGCCUUGUCAAAGUCUGUAGACUCCCCAACUUAAUUAUUUGUUAUUUUAGUUUUUUUUUUUUGUAAGUUUUGGGUGAAUUUGCAUUGCUUUAUCUCCGGCCAGUCUUUUAGGUAUCUGAUUGGGGUUGUCACCCCCACCCACCCCUAUUUCUGUACUGGGGUUUCAAUAUUUUCAUUUGCACUAAAGGUCAGAUUUUUAAUAAUGGUACUUUAAAUAUUUUUCUAUUUGGCUAAGUAUGGUUUUAGGAUCUUAUGCAAUAAGAAUUUUAUCUAGCAACAAAUUUCAUUAGGGAGGGGACUGGUGUAAUAUAAGAUAAUCUAGUAAUAUAUAAAUUUCAUUGGGGAGGGACUGGAGGGGAUGGAACUGGGUUCAUUGGCUGGCAUCAUUCUAGUGAGACUGUAAUGACAAGUUUAGAAACUUCAUUAAAGAUAGGGGGACCUGUG